UACUCCUCUUGGAGUCUUCUCAGCGAGCCUAGGACAAGGGAGAAACAUGUACCUGAAAGUUCAUAAGGAAGUAUGCUGAGAAAUUCAAAAUUCAAAGCGAAGGCUCACUUCUACUAGGGGAGAAAUAUUCCUGAAAGUUUUUCCUCAAGGCCUGAACAGUUAAAGCUUGAAAUGAAGGCUGACAUGAGUAAAGAAGCAUGUUAUCCCGUCCUGUCUUGCUGUGACAUGCUAUGUAA
Long non-coding RNA from Lagopus leucura (white-tailed ptarmigan), 236 nucleotides. RefSeq lists it as uncharacterized. Lineage: Eukaryota; Metazoa; Chordata; Aves; Galliformes; Phasianidae. The record is from RefSeq and is a predicted model, not a curated record. The transcript has 3 exons.